Molecule: non-coding RNA, 1459 nt
Organism: Dermacentor andersoni
Lineage: Eukaryota; Metazoa; Arthropoda; Arachnida; Ixodida; Ixodidae
Source: RefSeq, a predicted model, not a curated record
GUGAUAUCGGGCCACAGACAAGUGGCUGCGGGCCACCCACCGCAGUUGGCGCCGAACUACCAGCCUACCAGCAGCGCACGCUCUACCACAGAUGACAUGCACCGCUGAGUACUACCACUGUGCCAUUGUACUGAGCGCAGCACCACUUUUGCGUCAUGAUGUGGAGAAGUAGUGAACUACACCCCAGGGCAGAUGGCAAGGCCCGACCCAAAAGUAGUGCGUCUUACCGGCGAGAGCUCGGCGUGGCCACGACAUCUACUCUGUACAGCACACCGCUGCUUUCACGGAGACCACGCACAGCAGACGCUGCCGCCAAGUGCAGGCAGGCAGUGCAAAGAUGAAGUGCUUUUUCUGUCUUUUUGAGAUCGCAGACAUACAUUUUUCAUUUAUUUAACUCAAAAUGAGCAGCAAUAGUAUUAUCGAGAAUGUUCUCAUGAUCAUGAAAUUUGCCAAUAAUUGUUGGUGGGCUUGGCUGUUGCGACGUAGCUGCAUGAUGACAUUGUGAAGGAGAGAGCGAGAGGCUGUGUUGUGCACGAGAUUUGUAAAUUCCCUCCUGCAUGCAGUGCAAUAAUAUUUGGCUUACAUGUUGACAGAAGCCUAGCUUUAAGAUGUUCAAGCAGUGUUUAACAGCCCCUUUAAGGUUUGUGAUCUUGCACAAAGAUUGUUCAGUACAAUCCGCCGUCAAAGGGAACACGCAGCUAGUGAAAUGUGGUGUAAAGGCACCCAGGAUAAUUUUUGAUGUACAAAACAGGCUAAUUUAUGAUGUACAAAUUGAUUAACCCAGUUACUUCUUUCUGACAAAAACAAAGAAGCAUCCCAGUUGCACUGCCUUUAUCACUUGUCAGCUGUUCCUUUAAACAGUGCACAUUGUUGCCUCCAAUGCUAUGAAACACAGCUAAAGUUUCCCAGGAAAGCCUGCAGGUCAGGAGGACGCUAUAGCUACCUAAAUUCACAUACACUUAAAACAAAAAUACUCCUGUUUUUCCACAGCUAACAGUAUCAAGUGAAGUUUUUUCCCAAUAAAUAAACAAAGCGUAUUAAACUGACCUUUCAAAGCAGAUUUUGCAUUUAUGCCCUCAAAAAGCGUGUAGAAAAAAAAUGCAAUGAAGUUUCCCAUCCUGUAGCUCACCAGUUAACCCUUUCAGGACAGGCGACAAGUGGAGUCUUCACUUCUCUCAGGUGGUGCACUUGUCACAAAUAACAUCUGCAGGCGCAAGAAGUUGUUGAACAAGUUGGGAGCACAGAUUCACUCGUACACAGUGAAGCCCAUCCUCGUAUAAAAAAUCUUUUUCCAGCUAAACUUAACCUUCUUGACAGAAAUUUUUCACGUGGUCUUGCUUUACACGAUCGUCAGAAUAACUUGCACAGGAAGAAGACUCAUUUGAGUGCAGUGACGGUCACCUUUGCUAAAGUGUAAAUUUUUUUUUUUCGAAUAAAAUUCAUAUUUCUGACAAAUGUU